RNAcentral lists this transfer RNA (73 nucleotides) under bacterium. Its description in RNAcentral is "tRNA-Ile". It matches the Rfam family "tRNA". Rfam says of the family: Transfer RNA (tRNA) molecules are approximately 80 nucleotides in length. The record is from RNAcentral.
GCGCGCGUAGCUCAGCGGUAGUAGCACCGCCCUUAUAAGACGGGGGUCCCUGGUUCGAAUCCAGGCGCGCGCA